RNAcentral lists this ribosomal RNA (440 nucleotides) under uncultured bacterium. Its description in RNAcentral is "partial 16S ribosomal RNA". It matches the Rfam family "Bacterial small subunit ribosomal RNA", at positions 338 to 795 of the family's 1533-position model. The record is from RNAcentral.
CCUACGGGAGGCAGCAGUGGGGAAUAUUGCACAAUGGGCGAAACCCUGAUGCAGCGACGCCGCGUGGGUGAGGAAGUACUUCGGUAUGUAAAGCCCUGUCAGCAGGGAAGAAAAUGACGGUACCUGACUAAGAAGCCCCGGCUAACUACGUGCCAGCAGCCGCGGUAAUACGUAGGGGGCAAGCGUUAUCCGGAUUUACUGGGUGUAAAGGUAGCGUAGACGGCGUGCCAAGUCGAAUGUGAAAGGCCGGGGCUCAACCCCGGGACUGCAUUGGAAACUGGCAUGCUGGAGUGCCGGAGGGGAAAGCGGAAUUCCGGGGGUAGGGGUGAAAUGCGUAGAUAUGAGGAGGAAAACCGGUGGCGAAGGCGGCUUGCUGGCCGGUAACUGACGUUGAGGAGCGAAAGCGUGGGGAGCAAACAGGAUUAGAUACCCGUGUAGUC